GAUGAACGCUGGCGGCGUGCCUAAUACAUGCAAGUCGAGCGAACGGACGAGAAGCUUGCUUCUCUGAUGUUAGCGGCGGACGGGUGAGUAACACGUGGAUAACCUACCUAUAAGACUGGGAUAACUUCGGGAAACCGGAGCUAAUACCGGAUAAUAUUUUGAACCGCAUGGUUCAAAAGUGAAAGACGGUCUUGCUGUCACUUAUAGAUGGAUCCGCGCUGCAUUAGCUAGUUGGUAAGGUAACGGCUUACCAAGGCAACGAUGCAUAGCCGACCUGAGAGGGUGAUCGGCCACACUGGAACUGAGACACGGUCCAGACUCCUACGGGAGGCAGCAGUAGGGAAUCUUCCGCAAUGGGCGAAAGCCUGACGGAGCAACGCCGCGUGAGUGAUGAAGGUCUUCGGAUCGUAAAACUCUGUUAUUAGGGAAGAACAUAUGUGUAAGUAACUGUGCACAUCUUGACGGUACCUAAUCAGAAAGCCACGGCUAACUACGUGCCAGCAGCCGCGGUAAUACGUAGGUGGCAAGCGUUAUCCGGAAUUAUUGGGCGUAAAGCGCGCGUAGGCGGUUUUUUAAGUCUGAUGUGAAAGCCCACGGCUCAACCGUGGAGGGUCAUUGGAAACUGGAAAACUUGAGUGCAGAAGAGGAAAGUGGAAUUCCAUGUGUAGCGGUGAAAUGCGCAGAGAUAUGGAGGAACACCAGUGGCGAAGGCGACUUUCUGGUCUGUAACUGACGCUGAUGUGCGAAAGCGUGGGGAUCAAACAGGAUUAGAUACCCUGGUAGUCCACGCCGUAAACGAUGAGUGCUAAGUGUUAGGGGGUUUCCGCCCCUUAGUGCUGCAGCUAACGCAUUAAGCACUCCGCCUGGGGAGUACGACCGCAAGGUUGAAACUCAAAGGAAUUGACGGGGACCCGCACAAGCGGUGGAGCAUGUGGUUUAAUUCGAAGCAACGCGAAGAACCUUACCAAAUCUUGACAUCCUUUGACAACUCUAGAGAUAGAGCCUUCCCCUUCGGGGGACAAAGUGACAGGUGGUGCAUGGUUGUCGUCAGCUCGCGUCGUGAGAUGUUGGGUUAAGUCCCGCAACGAGCGCAACCCUUAAGCUUAGUUGCCAUCAUUAAGUUGGGCACUCUAAGUUGACCGCCGGUGACAAACCGGAGGAAGGUGGGGAUGACGUCAAAUCAUCAUGCCCCUUAUGAUUUGGGCUACACACGUGCUACAAUGGACAAUACAAAGGGCAGCGAAACCGCGAGGUCAAGCAAAUCCCAUAAAGUUGUUCUCAGUUCGGAUUGUAGUCUGCAACUCGACUACAUGAAGCUGGAAUCGCUAGUAAUCGUAGAUCAGCAUGCUACGGUGAAUACGUUCCCGGGUCU
Molecule: ribosomal RNA, 1372 nt
Filed under: uncultured bacterium
Lineage: Bacteria
Description: bacterial SSU rRNA
Rfam family: Bacterial small subunit ribosomal RNA
Source: RNAcentral